CCUACGGGAGGCAGCAGUGGGGAAUAUUGCGCAAUGGGCGCAAGCCUGACGCAGCGACGCCGCGUGAGGGAUGAAGGUCUUCGGAUCGUAAACCUCUGUCAGCAGGGAAGAACGGUCACUGUGCUAAUCAGCAGUGAAUUGACGGUACCUGCAAGGGAAGCACCGGCUAACUCCGUGCCAGCAGCCGCGGUAAUACGGAGGGUGCGAGCGUUGGUCGGAAUUACUGGGCGUAAAGCGCUCGUAGGCGGGAUGUCAAGUCAAGGGUGAAAUCCCCGGGCUCAACGUGGGAACUGCCUUUGAAACUGGAGAACUGGAGUGUGUGAGAGGAUAGUGGAAUUCCAGGUGUAGGAGUGAAAUGCGUAGAUAUCUGGAGGAACAUCAGUGGCGAAGGCGACUAUCUGGCACAUAACUGACGCUGAGGAGCGAAAGCGUGGGUAGCAAACAGGAUUAGAUACCCCUGUAGUC
This 465-nucleotide ribosomal RNA is filed under the name uncultured bacterium. RNAcentral's name for it is "partial 16S ribosomal RNA". It matches the Rfam family "Bacterial small subunit ribosomal RNA", at positions 338 to 795 of the family's 1533-position model. The record is from RNAcentral.